Molecule: ribosomal RNA, 619 nt
Filed under: Enterobacter sp. SAJ7
Lineage: Bacteria; Pseudomonadati; Pseudomonadota; Gammaproteobacteria; Enterobacterales; Enterobacteriaceae
Description: bacterial SSU rRNA
Rfam family: Bacterial small subunit ribosomal RNA
Source: RNAcentral
CUCUCGGGUGACGAGUGGCGGACGGGUGAGUAAUGUCUGGGAAACUGCCUGAUGGAGGGGGAUAACUACUGGAAACGGUAGCUAAUACCGCAUAACGUCGCAAGACCAAAGAGGGGGACCUUCGGGCCUCUUGCCAUCAGAUGUGCCCAGAUGGGAUUAGCUAGUAGGUGGGGUAACGGCUCACCUAGGCGACGAUCCCUAGCUGGUCUGAGAGGAUGACCAGCCACACUGGAACUGAGACACGGUCCAGACUCCUACGGGAGGCAGCAGUGGGGAAUAUUGCACAAUGGGCGCAAGCCUGAUGCAGCCAUGCCGCGUGUAUGAAGAAGGCCUUCGGGUUGUAAAGUACUUUCAGCGGGGAGGAAGGUGUUGUGGUUAAUAACCGCAGCAAUUGACGUUACCCGCAGAAGAAGCACCGGCUAACUCCGUGCCAGCAGCCGCGGUAAUACGGAGGGUGCAAGCGUUAAUCGGAAUUACUGGGCGUAAAGCGCACGCAGGCGGUCUGUCAAGUCGGAUGUGAAAUCCCCGGGCUCAACCUGGGAACUGCAUUCGAAACUGGCAGGCUAGAGUCUUGUAGAGGGGGGUAGAAUUCCAGGUGUAGCGGUGAAAUGCGUAGAGA